UGGGGAAUAUUGCACAAUGGGCGCAAGCCUGAUGCAGCCAUGCCGCGUGUGUGAAGAAGGCCUUCGGGUUGUAAAGCACUUUCAGCGGGGAGGAAGGCGGUGAGGUUAAUAACCUCAUCGAUUGACGUUACCCGCAGAAGAAGCACCGGCUAACUCCGUGCCAGCAGCCGCGGUAAUACGGAGGGUGCAAGCGUUAAUCGGAAUUACUGGGCGUAAAGCGCACGCAGGCGGUCUGUCAAGUCGGAUGUGAAAUCCCCGGGCUCAACCUGGGAACUGCAUUCGAAACUGGCAGGCUAGAGUCUUGUAGAGGGGGGUAGAAUUCCAGGUGUAGCGGUGAAAUGCGUAGAGAUCUGGAGGAAUACCGGUGGCGAAGGCGGCCCCCUGGACAAAGACUGACGCUCAGGUGCGAAAGCGGGGGGAGCAAACAGG
Molecule: ribosomal RNA, 429 nt
Filed under: Chloroflexota bacterium
Lineage: Bacteria; Bacillati; Chloroflexota
Description: Chloroflexi bacterium partial 16S ribosomal RNA
Rfam family: Bacterial small subunit ribosomal RNA
Source: RNAcentral